GGGUGGUCCAAAGGUAGUGAGUUAUCUCAAUUGACUGUUUACAGCCAGUUACAGAUAGAACUCCUUGUUCUACUUUCCCCCACUUCUCACUACUGCACUUGACCAGUCUUUU
Molecule: Y RNA, 112 nt
Filed under: Saimiri boliviensis boliviensis (Bolivian squirrel monkey)
Lineage: Eukaryota; Metazoa; Chordata; Mammalia; Primates; Cebidae
Description: Y RNA (ENSSBOG00000000671.1)
Rfam family: Y RNA
About the family: Y RNAs are components of the Ro ribonucleoprotein particle (Ro RNP), in association with Ro60 and La proteins. The Y RNAs and Ro60 and La proteins are well conserved, but the function of the Ro RNP is not known.
Source: Rfam by way of RNAcentral